RNAcentral lists this long non-coding RNA (16051 nucleotides) under Elaeis guineensis (African oil palm). RNAcentral describes it as "long non-coding RNA (EGUI_LNC006907)". Lineage: Eukaryota; Viridiplantae; Streptophyta; Magnoliopsida; Arecales; Arecaceae. The record is from RNAcentral.
AGAAAUGUUCUGUUGAUCCUUCUUCUUCUUCUUUUUUUUUUUUUUUGCUAAGAUGGGUGAUGGAAUCUAGGUCUCUUGUAUCUUCGGCCCCUUCACCAGCUUGCAAAUAAAAAGCACCAGACCACCGGCCGUUGAUUAAGCUAAUGAAAGUAAACAGCAGCUUGAUGUUGAAAACAAUUUGUUUAAGUAUUUAUAUGGAUUUCUCAGACUUCGUGUAACUCUAUGUUUCUACUAAUUUACUUGCAUUAUUUUAGGAUUUCCUUUGUCAUCACUCAUCAUUAUGGACUAUUGCAUUGUGUCUUUAUUGUAAAAAUCUAACCAUCUGCAUCUUAUAUUUGUUAGUCUUACUGAAGUAUCUUUCAUGCUCAACUAUUUUGAUCUAAUGCACACCAGUAUUUGCAUUCGAGAUGGUCGACAGGACUGUGGUAAGUGUUUUAACUGGUGAGAAGCAUCAAGUUCAAACUCAAUAGGUGCCAAUUCUACUGUUAUUCUCCACAUUAAGGAGGAAAAAAAAAAAACAACCUGGGCUCGAGGUUAGAUUCUGGGUUUGUACCCUGAGCUCAAGGUUUUGGACCAGUGUCGGUUAGCAAAAUGACCACGAGAGUUUCUAGUCUUGGUCUUUUGCACAUAUGGUCUGUGCUGCAGCUCUCAUGCGAACCUAUGCAUCUAAAUUUAUUAUUAUUUCAAUUUUUCUUACAAAAGCUUUGUUGAUCAUCAUGUUAUUAACUUCAUAAUGUUGCUGGGAAAUGGGCUUUGGACCACCUUUUUUACUGUAAUGGGCUUGGAUCUGUCAAACUUAUUCGAGUCGAAUUGCCAUGUGCAAACAAAUAAUAACACAGUCAGAUCUAUCAAAGCCAAACCGGCAUGCACACAAUAUACUAAUAUCAGAUCCAAGUUGUCUCUUCAUGUGUAACCUUACUUGUUCUGUUCUUGGCCAAUGUAUAUAGACAUAAAUCCUUUUCCAGCUUCAACAACCUCCUACGUACCAACACUGCCUUUAGACAGAUCAAAAGACCUGAAAAAGAUUUAAAGUUGUGAUGGAAGAUCAUUAAUUUGUCCAUACUCACCAUGGUCGUAAUUUGAUGUAGUCCAUGAAGAACCGGUCAUCCAUUUCAUGCAUAGAGUGAACAAACACAUCACGCAAGUCUGAAAGGCAGGAAAGUAGAAGCAAACAACACAUCACGCAAGCCUGAAAGGUGAAAGGCAGGAGAGUAGAAGCAAAGCGGAAAAGGACGAAGGAAACCAACCUUUCUUCGGUACAGAAGGAAGCCAACUUUUUAAACACAUUUUUCUUCAAAGGUUGGCAACCAGCCGACCUCUACAGUUGAUUCAAACUACCAGCCAGCUAGUCUUAGCUGUUAACUGAUGGUCCCAGGGUCCAUGGAUUAAAUGACGGCAACCAUAGCUUCACGUAGGAAGGUCACAAAACACACAGCUAAUCGUGUUGGCUAAGAUGCCAAAAGACUGAUUGAUGUUUCCAUAUUCCAAGUACCAUUUUUUAAUGCAAGUUGGCAGGUCAGCUUCAAGUGUCUAAUAUGAAUCAUAAAUUUCACAAGUUGUGAUGCUUCUGCACCGACGGUCAUUUUAAACAUUUAUAUGGCUCUCUAGGAAAGAUCAGUCUAAAUUUCUUUUUGUUUUGGGAAUGUUAGAGGGUUACAUUCCAAUAAAAAAAGGAAGACUACCAGGGAUUUCCUAAUAGACAAUGAUCUCAACAGGAGCAUUCUCGGUUGCUUCCUAUAUUACAAGCACAUGAACUGUGCAUCAAGAUGAGCUGUCCAAGCUUCUAUAUGUCAACUCUACCAUUAUAAUUUGGUUGUUAGAAGGCAUGUAUGAAAUAGUGACUCAAGGUGUCCUUUUAUUGCUUAAGAAGUAUGUUUAUUAGAAAUCUCUUCUGGAUGGAAUCGAAUGUCGGUGAUGAUUUAAAAUAGAACUGUGAAUAGGUUUGGAAGUAUUAGGAGUAUCUUCCCCUGGUUGAUCCUGAAUCAAUCAGUCUCGGGCUUGAUGUUCCAUCUUUGAAAAUGACAAUACCUUACUUUAAAAAAAAAAAAUCUUACCAACUACUAUUUCCGGUUGAUCAAAGGUUAAACGUAACAAAAAGUUUUUUUUUUCUUUUUAUUUGACUUUUCACAUAAUAAAAGCAAACAACUUAUGAAUAUCACACACGCACUGAAUUACAAUUAUCAUUUAAGUUGAGCUGUCCAAGCUUCUACAAUGUCAACUCUGCCUCUUUUUUUUUAUUUUUAUUUUUUUUUAUUUUUAAGAGGCAGCAUAUCUGUAAUUCCUAUUUAAUCUUUUUGAUGUAAAACAAAUCUUAAUAUGGUGGACUUUGUUUUUUUUUUUCCCCCUCACAACUUUCUUUAAUUAAAGAAUUAGAAUUUUCAAUGGAAUGAACUAACAUUAUAAUAAUAUUUAUAGAUAAAGAAAGAUGCUCGUAAAAUUUCAUGAGACGAUCUAUGAUUUGCUUUGAUAAUUUUGACAUUCAUAGUUAGAGUCACUAUCAAAAAAAUUGUCACUCAAAUCUAUCACAAAGAUUGUAACAUCUUAGGAUCUCAUCCAAAAGACUAGCUGGAAGAUAUUAUUUGCAAAAAUACAAAUGAAUUGGAUUGGAUCGGAUCAUGAGUGACCUCGAUCCGAUCCUAUUCCUUGAUCAGGUCUAAAUAUUGGAUCCAAAUCUAAUCCAAUACAUGAUCGGAUCGGAUCAUGUCCAUGAUCAAAUUUCUUGAUCCAAUGGAUCAUUCGGGUCAGAUCGGAUUUAUGUAUAAUCCAGGCCUGAUCCAUGAAAUACGGAUCUAAUUCGGAUCUGGAUCUGAGCCGGUUCAUUUCUAAGUUGUACAUAAUAAGAUCAAUAAGUAGAAGAUGUAUAAACAACCUUAUUUACACUAUAAAUUUGAUCAUGAUAUGUAAGACUAUUAGAGCGCCAUGUUCCACGUUCUUCACCAAAGAACCCAAAAAGCCUAAUCACAUUUUCCUCACCAUUGCCUAUUAAUCCAAAUUUAAAAUAUUUUAAUAAAAAUUUUAAAAAUAAGAAUCUAAAAAUUAAUAGAAUGUAUUUUUAAGAGCAAUAGAUAUUAAAGCAGCCUCGACAAAAUUAACAUUCAUGUGACAUUGGAAUAGAAAGAGAUGAGGGAUGGGUUCGGGUCGCAUCAGUUUGAAUCAAAAAUUAGUAAAUCUAGAUCCGAUCCGAAAAAUGGAAUGGGUCAAAUUUUAGAAUCCAAUUCGAAUUCGCGGGUCCUUUAAAACGGUUCGGAUUGGAUUUACACAGGUCGAGUCAUGGGUUAAUCCGACCCACUUGCAGCUUUAAUUAUUUGGAUUCUUUGGUCCUAUAUAAAUACUUAAGAUUUUCUUACCACGAUCAGUUUAUGAUCAAUCCCAAUAAAUUCGUGCUACAGUAUCUCCUACUUUAUAUAGAUUAUGAAUUGGAUCAACUUUGAUACCAUUUGUAUCAAUCCAGGAUCUCACGCAAAAGACUAAUUGGAAGAUAUUAUUUGGAUUCUUUGAUUUUGUAUAAGCAUCUAAAAUUUCACUAGAAAAUAAUUGAUAUAGGACUAAAUGCAGAUCCUCACAAACUUUUUUUUUUUUUGGUUACUCCAAAAUUAGGUCAAUAAAGUCAGGUGGUGGUUUCCUGCUUCCCUUUCCUUAAAAAAAAGAAAAGGGUUAUUCUGAAAAUAGUGAUGAGGGAGCUGUCAGUUAGAAUUACUUGGGUCAGUUAGAGCACUUAGGAAUCAAUAUUGUGAUAUUUGAACUGAAAUCCUUCUCCAAUGAGAAGCAAUGCAAUUAUUAGACAGCCGAAUAUCUACAACAAUAACCAUUAUUUAUAGACUCUUUGUUUUCUUUCUUUUCCCUCCUCCCGUGAGAGAAAACAGAGGAAACACCCCUCCAUUUUACAGAGGGGUUUAAAGACCACGACGGUGAAACCAGAAUCUAUUGCGAUCAUAGAAAAUUUACAGCUAUGUUAGGGGUAACAAACCUCUUCACUCUUUUGUCUCUUGCUUACACGAGAGUCUUUUGUGGAUUGAUUGGGUUUGUUUGCACAGUAGCUACUAAGAACAGUCGGUGUACGGUAAACUUUUGCAACAGGCUCUCUUAUCCGACUUUGAUAUGCAGCCCCCCCUUCAAAACGAGAGAAAAAGGGAGGAAAAUGGUGGAAUCGCCAAAAUAAACUAAUCACACAACCUCCCUUGGUAUAAGAAACGCAGAGGCUGACGACCGCCAUGAGGAAGGAGUCGGGAGGAAAAGAGAAACAAGGAGGAAGAGGAAUGAAGGCUUCAAGGAGCUUUGGCAGGCCAGAGCCAUGGAGGAUAGGGAAUGUGUUCAUCAUAGUAUCCGUGAUCCUUUCCCUUGGCAUCCUCUCUCUCAUCAAGGCUCACUAUUGCUCCUAUCCAUAUGGUCCGUCUCUGUCUCUAGUUCUUUUGAGGGAAUUCUUAGUGAUUCUUCUCGACAUCUUUAAUUAACUAUAACUAUUGCUGCUCUUGCAGGGAAAUCACAGGCACCCUCGAAAUUAAUGGUACCAACGGAAACAAAUCUUAUGAUGGUCACGGAUCUACCAGGUAGUUUCCAUUGCAGAUGUGCUAACUGAGAAUUCAAGAAUUAAGAAAAAGCAAUGAGUUGAAAGGAAAGUUCUAGCAUAGUUAUAAACGCUAGUGCGAGAGAGAAACAAUGACAGAUCAAAUAACAAUAAAUACCGACAAUUGACAAGAAUCUAAAUUUCAACAGUUAGCCGCUUUUAGUUGUUCUUUUAGUCAAGGAUAUUACGUGAGCAAUCUAAUACUUCUCAAAAAGGAGAGAGCAAUCUAUGAAUUAUAACAUCCAAGGAAAAGUUUGUUUAGAGACCUUUUCAAUGGAUGAAGCUUUUGUGCUAAAGCUGUACUACUAAUUUUUGUUUUCAGAGGAUGAAGAUGAUGAAGGAAACAGCACUGCAGCCAACAUGGGCAAACCGAUAUGCUACGAAACAAGCAAGAGAUCUGAUACUUGCGAAGCGGAGGGCGAUAUAAGGGUGCAUGGGAGCUCUCGCACCGUGUUUGUCCAACCUUUGUCGAGGAGGCAAGAAAGGAAGGCCAAACCUUAUGCUCGAAAGAACGAUGCUGUCGCCAUUGCCAAUGUAAAAGAAUGGUCAUUGAAAGCAUCAAACAGUCACCAGCUGCCUCCUGAAUGCACCAUAAACCAUACGGUCCCUGCCAUGAUCCUCUCUGUUGGAGGCUAUGCCGGCAACCUCUUCCACGACUUCACCGAUGUAUUGGUCCCCCUGUUCAUAAGCUCUCAUCAGUUCCAUGGCGAAGUCCAAUUCUUGAUCUCCGACUUCAAAUCUUGGUGGGUGAACAAAUAUGGCUUGGUCUUCAAACAGCUCUCCAAGUAUGAGAUCGUCGAUGUGGACAGCGAGCAAGAGAGCACGGUGCGGUGCUUCCCUCGGGUGGUCAUGGGGCCGAGCUUCCACAAGGUGCUAGGCGUGGAUGCAAGUAGGUCUCCCACCGGAUACUCCGUUGUAGAUUUCAAAGCAAUGCUGAGGGAGGCACUUGGACUGGAGAGGGCGACUGCGACGCCUCCAGAAGAUGAAUGGGACAUAAGGAGGAGGCCUAGGCUGUUGAUCCUAUCUCGUCAGAACACAAGAAGAUUCUUGAAUGAGAGGGGGAUGGUGGACAUGGCAAUGAGCUUGGGGUUCGAUGUGAGGAUCGGUCAGCCGGAUGUGAGCACCGAUGUAGCGAAGUUUGCGAGGCUGGUGAAUUCGGCCGAUGUGAUGAUCGGAGUCCAUGGGGCAGGGCUCACCAACAUGGUGUUCCUCCCUGCAGGGGCUGUGAUCAUUCAGGUUGUGCCCAUGGGUGGUCUGGAGUGGCUGGCCAAAGAAACCUUCCGUGAUCCUGCAGAGGAAUUGGAGCUCAAGUACUUUGAGUACAAAAUCCAAGCAGAUGAGAGCACACUCGGUGAACAAUACCCCAAGGACCAUCCCGUGCUGACAAACCCCUACAAAAUCCACAAGCAGGGGUGGAACACACUCAAGUCUGUGUACUUGGACAAUCAAAAUGUGAGGCCUCACUUGGGCAGGCUUAGGAACACCUUGAUGGAAGCUCUCAAGCACCUACCUCACAAUGUAACCAGCUAAGUAUGCAACUGUUGGAACUAGAUGAUCCCCCUCCCCCUCAUAUCUCUUUCUUUCCCCCUUUUUUUGUUCUUCUAUAUUGUAAUCAUUUUGUUUGCUUGUAAGAUGAUAGAUAUGAGUGUAUGGUGCAAAUGCAUCAGAGAAUAUUAAUUAUACAUUAUUAGUUAUGAAAAUGUCGUGAAAGAAGUGAUUUCAAGGUUCAAUCAACUUUAAAUGGUGUAGACAGCUAUCAAGCAGAUUUCUUUUUUUUUUUCUGUUUCCAUCACUGGCUUGCUUUAUUCCUCUUAGACUAAUGGAAAUGUCAGAUAAAAUUGCAAGAGAAUAAACAUAUCGUUGUGCAUGAUUGUCGGACAUGGGAAUUAAUACAUUUUAUGUGAUUAAGACAAUAUAAUAAAAAUAUAAUUGGAGCAAACAAUAUAACUAAUAAUAUUCACAAUUUUUUAUCGCUUUCCACUUGAAGGUUAUUAAUAAUGGGAUGAUAUGAACCUGCCAAACUAGUAAAAGAGAAUUUGCCAUCAAUAAAGGAGAUAUAUGUUUGGCAUCCUUUUCAAUUGGUGCAUUGGUGGACAUAAACGAAGGUUGGUAUAGGAGCAUUAACUUACGGUAGUUUGUGCACAACAGAAAAGAGGAAUUGGGAUUUGAUCUUCAAGCAUAUAAUUUCAGGGAAGUGAUACUCAAGCAUAUUUCGAAUAAAAUGAUAGUUGAUUCCAAUAUGCUUAAAUCAUGGUUAACUGACCAAUACAAUCUGAACUAUACUCGAACUGCUGAUAGGCAAAGAAUUACAAGUUUGGAUUAAAAUACCAGGGUUGGAGAUAAGACCUCUCUUAUUAUGAUGUCUAACUUUAGAAACAGAGUUGAAUGCUAGAUUUAACUUUUCUUUUAUAUAUAUAUGUAUGUAUGUAUCAAAGUUGGGGAGGUCUCCUGGAAGAAGAGGAAUGCCAACAAUUAACAUGUUGACCAAAGUUGCGGGGGGAGUUCGGCUACAGAACUGCAUGUUCAAAAAGCCAAAAGAAUUGCAGGACCCAUCAUGAGGAAAACAUGCAACCGGAUACCUUGCAUGUUUGACAUUUGUGCAAAACACAAGUUCUAGUCCUUGAAUGGUAAAAAAACCACUUCAUGGAUCCACAGAAACCAAAGACCUUAUGGUUUGUAUUAGACCAUUAGGUAAGCAAGUUUCCAUCAAGCUUAUGCCACAAAGGAUGAUUUAGAAUGCAACUGCUUGCAUGGAAUGUUUAUCAAUCAUCUCAAGUAGGGAGCUUACAUCACUUGUACUAGGUGAUUGUUAGUAGUUUGGCUUGGACUAGCCAAGGAUGGCCCCCGAAAAUAUGGCAACAUUUUUUGACUCCAAGAAUGGAUUAUCAUGAUCAAGUUCUUUCAUCUAGAAGGUCAAAAAAAAGGACAUUAAGUAUUAUCGAAAAGCAAUUAUGUGACAAAGCACCAAUAAUUGCCAUAUUCUCAUUACUCUCUCUCUCUCUCUCUCAUUCUCUCUCUCUCCCCCCGCCUCUAUAGAUUGGAACUUUUGUAUCUCCUCAAGGGCAAGCUCUUAGAUAAGACUGUGCCAACCAAUUGAGGUAAUAAUUGUUAAUCUCCCUUGACUAUCUUUAGUAAAAGUGCCAAGUCUCAUAAUUUUUGGAUUAUGGAUAAGCAAAUGAUUUUUCUUCACGAUUUGAGAAAAUAAGUAAUUGAUUGCAAUGCGCACUUCUCUAGUGUUGAAAUUUGAUUUGCCCUUCAACAUGCCAACAAUUAACAUGUUGGCCAAAUUUGUGGAGGGAAUUCAGCUAAGAAAACUUCAUGUUCAAAGAAGCCAAAAGAAAUGUAGCACCCAUUAGGAGAAAAACAUACAACUUGACAUGUUGCACAUUUGAGAUUUGUACAAAACACAAGUUCUAGUCUUUGAAUUGUAGAAAAAAUCACUUCAUAGUUCCACAGAAACCAAAGACUUUAUGGUUUGUGUUAGACUAUUAGGUAAGCAAGUCUCCAUCAAGCUUAUGCCAUAAAGCAUGAUUUAGAGUGCAACUGCUCGCAUGGAAUGUUUAUCAAUCACCUCAAGUAGGUAGCUAACAUCACUUAUACUAGGUGAUUGUUAAUAGUUUUGCUUGGACUAGCCAAGGAUGGCCCACAAAAAUAUGGCAAUUUUUUGACUCUAAGAAUGGAUUAUAAUGAUCAAAUUCUUUCAUCUAGGCUCAAAAAAAGGACAUUAAGUAUCAUCAAGAAGCAAGUAUUUGACAAAGCAUCAAUAAUUGCCAUAUUUUCAUCACUUACUCACACACACUCUCUCUAUUAUAGAUUGAAAUUUUAUGUCUCCUCAAGAGCAUGCUCUUAGAUAAGACGUGCCAACUAGUUGAGGUAAUAAUUGUUAAUCUUCUAGAACUAUCUUUAGCUAAAAGUGCCAACUCUCAUAAUUUUUGGAUUAUGGAUAAGCAAAUAAUUUUUUUUUCAUGAUUCGAGAAAAUAAGUAAUUGAUUGAGACACACUCUGCUCUAAUGUACAAUUUGAUUUGCCCUUCAACAUGCCAAUGAUUAACAUGUUGGCCAAAUAUGAGGGUUGGGGGUGGGGGGGGGGGGGACGUUCAUGUUCAAAGAAGCCAAAAGAAAAUGUAGGACCCAUUAUGAGAACAACAUGCAACUUGGACACCUUGCAUGUUUGAGAUUUGUACAAAACACAAGUUCUAGUCCUAGAAUGGUAGAAAAAACCACAUCAUAGUUCCACAAAAGCCAAAGACUUUACGGUUUGUUUUAGACUAUAUAUUAUGCAAGCAAGUUUCUAUCAAGCUUAUGCCAUAAAGCAUGAUCUAGAAUGCAACCACUCGCAUGGAAUGUUUAUUAAUUACCUCAAAUAGGGAGCUUACAUCACUUGUACUAGGUGAUUGUUAGUACUUUUGCUUGGACUAAUCAAGGAUUGCCCACGAAAAUAUCUCAACUUUUUUGACUCCAAGAAUGGAUUAUAAUCUUCAAAUUCUUUCAUCUAGAGGGUCAAAAAAAAAGGGAUAUUAAGUAUUAUCAAGAAACAAUUAUAUGACAAAGCACCAAUAAUUGCCAUAUUUUGAUCCACCGUACCCUCUCUCUCUAUUAUAGAUUUGAACUUUGUGCCUCCUCAAUUACAAUCUCUUAGAUAAGAGGUGCCAACCAAUUGAGGUGAUGAUUGUUAAACUCCCUUAACUAUUUUCUUUAGCUAAAAAUAUCAAGCUUCUGGUUUAUGGAUAAGCAAAUGAUUUUUUUUUUUUCAUGAUUUCAUGAGAAUAAAUAAUUGAUUGCGGCGCAAACUGCUCUAGUAUUGAAAUUUGAUUUGCCCUUCAACAUCACAUCCAUAGGGCAUACAAUAAUGCAUGCCAGAUGAGAAAGAAUUCGACAGAUGCUCUCUUCAAUUUUGAAUCCAGCUAAUAGAAAAAUGCCUUUUGGGCCAGAACUAGAAUAACAAGAUACUUUUGAUCCCUUAGUAAAAAGGCCCAGCAUUUUUACACCCCAAUAUUACUUUUAAGAUUCUAUUAUAUACAUAUAUAUGCUUCAUGACUUACUCUGUAUUCUUUUUCUCCAGGCCAUGAAAAGAGCCAAACGCCACAUGGUUCAGAUUCUUGUGGAUCAAGUCAGAGGACAAGUGGUUCAAAAUUCCAGUGGCUCGAGCUACCAAUAAUUCACCUGCCACCUAACGGCUUAUGGAGAUGACAUGCCUCCCCCACCUGGCCAUCAAUCCUUCUAUUUGUCAUUGCACCGCCGUACGGAGGGGAUCCCAAAAAGUUGACAACAACCGACCCGGGCGACGCCAAAUAACACCUCGCUGCAUGGGCUGCCACGAGACCAUGAAAUAAAUUAAAAAAAAAAAAGAAGGGUUCAAAUAAAGGCCGGCCUAAUUUUGUGGACUCGACUUUGCUAUUCUGCGUCUAAACGCUUCUGGAAAUCGCCAAGCCAACCACCACAUUGGACGGCCAGGGUUUUCCGGACUUUCUAUUUGUUUUCUUUCUUUUGUUUUUUUUCGUAGAGCAAUACUUUUAAACUAUAUUAAAAAAAGUACUACAAUUAUGCUUCCACUUGCUGUCCAGCUAAAGAUGACCAGUAUUAUUAAUUUUGUAUUGAUGAGUCCUGUCGUCGUGCUGAAAAACAAAGAAAUUCUAUUAGCGAUGGAUGAAUUUGAUCCUUUUCGAUGGAUUGACUUCUUUGUGCUUGUCCGGCUAUUGGGUAAUUUCCGAAGAGAGACGUGCGAGGAGGUGUGUUGACGAGGUAAAGUGGUGUAUUUAUGGAAUGCAAAUAAUAAUAUAAACAUGCGAAUAUCAUGGUAUGCUUAUGGUGAUUUAUUUUUGCAGUCUUCUACCCUUUCUUUUGGCGAGGUAUAUGUGCUUGCACCUUUUUGUAUUUUCUAGGGGAAAAAAAGAGAGUUGAAAGCUAGUUGUACAUAAAUCUUGUAGCUACUUUAUCCAAUAAAACAAAUCUUGUAGGCAGGAAAGGUUUAAACUUCAUGUGAAUGGAGACGGCUUGCUAACAAUUAUUGACUGGGUCGAUCAAUCUUUGUCCAUGGCCAGCUAAUUAAGGAAAGGUAGAGCCCAUCUCCUUUAUGGGUCAAAUUCCGGAUGCUUUCAAUCAUGUCUCGAAGAAAGCUAUGUGAUCUCGAUGGAGAUCACAUGGCCAGCUCAUGUGAUCUCGAUGGAAAAAGAAUCAAGACCCUAUGGAAUAGAGGUCAUCCUUUUUUUUUUUUUUUAAAAAAAAAAAGGGAUGUACAAUCUAAUCAAGAAAUAACUAUGCCUCUGGAUUUAUUAUUCGUUUACUUUAAGACAUCUGGACUAAUUUGUCCCUUCAGAUGGAAAAAAAAAUAAAAUAAAAGGAAAAGAAAAUUGUUUCCAUCUCUUUUUCCAAAGACCCCGUAAAAAAAAAAAAAAAAGAACUUCCUAACACAAAUCUUACUAAAAAAAAAAAAGAAAUAUACAAAUAUAGUGAUGUACCAUAGCCUCCUUUCACUUGUGACGCUCUUUAAGCAUAUGAAAGCAUUCUCCAAAAAAUAUAGGAAAAAAAAGAAAAAAAAAGAUGAAGAUUGAAUUGAAACUUUGAGAGGUUCUUCAACAGAUUGAUGCCACCACCCUUCUAUUGCAUGAGGCUUUCAAGGGCUUUCCACAAAACAUCCCUGAACCUCCUCAAAUCAAGCUUCACGUUCUGAUUGUCCAUGAAUGUAGUCUUCACCAGAUCCCACCCACGAUUGUGGAAUGAGGAGGGGUUCUUGAACACAGGGUGGUUUCUAGGAUACACCCGUAUCAAACUGCUCUCUCUUUCACUUAUACUAUAUUGCAAAUAGUUUAGAUCCAUGUCCUUAGCCGGGUACCCAAAGUCCGUCAUAGCUAUCUUCUCCAGCCUACCCCAUGGCACUAUCUGGAUCAACGUAGCUUGCGGUGGGAGAAACACCAUAUUAGUGAGCCCUGCCCCAUGCACCCCCAUCAACACGUCGCAAGAGUUAACCAUCUCGGCAAAAUGAGUAAUAUUAGAUAAUGAAUUCGCAUUGCCGACAACCACUUUAUACCCCAAUUCUUCCGCCAUCUGAACUAUCCUUCUGACAUUUAUGAUUGCCCGGGUUCGCUUUCUUGAUAUAAUGAGCAGCCUUGGAUUCUUACGGGGGUAUUCCUCAAUUUUAGUCACCGUGUCCCUCUCCAACUGGUAGGUGCUCCUCAUAAAUUGAGUGAAAUCGACCAUAGAAUACCCAUAAGGAGCUUUCAUGGGGUCGAUGCUUAGCUCCUUGUGGCGUUGGAGACCCACAAUCACAUGCUUGAAACAAUGCACCUGGUCGUCCUCAUCCAAGUUGAUGAGUUGGUAAUUAGAGAGCUUUCUAAACACCAGUAGGUACUUGUCGACCCACCAUUGCUUCAUAUCGGUCACCAUGAAUUGAACUUCUCCAUUGAAUUGGCGCGCAGUUAAGAAGAGGGGAACUAAAAGAUCGGUGAAAUCAUGGAAGAGAUUUCCAGUGUAUCCACUGACCGAAAAAACUAUAGCUGGGAUGCUGUGAUUUUUGGUGCAUUGUGGAGCAUCUGUGCUCGAUUUAACCGUCAGUUCUCUAAUCUUGUUGAAGUCAUUGUCGGCUCCUUUGCGACUGUAAGGUCUAACUCUCCAUAAUUCAUUCCUUUCAAAGGGUUCCACAGAUAUAAUGGAGGAAGUGUUCUGAUGAAUUCUGAUAUCACCAUCCAUUUCACACAGGUCUCCUCGUCGUUCUGAAACAUGGCACAAUGGUUUCGUCGGAUUCAUAUUCUCUUGCAGCGUACCUUCACAUGCGAUGAACCCAAAAAAAAAAUAAUAAUAAGAAAGGGAAAAAAAAUAAAAAACUCAACAGGACAUGGGAAGUAAUUAGCUUGAAAGAAAAAAAGGGGGGAGACUUCCAUUAUCAUCAUUAUGAUUACUAUUGUUGUUGUUGUUGUUGUUGUUUUUUAUUGUUGUCUUCUUGUUGUUGUUGUUUAUUGUGACCUCCACCACCACCAUGAUUAUUGUUACCAUCAUCAUUAUCAUUUUGUUAUCAUCAUUCCUAAGAACAAUGGUUGAUUUAAAUAAAUAAAAAAAAAGAACAAUUUUGAAAAUGCUAGAACUUUUUCAGCAGAUUAACUUGAUCUUUCUUAUGAGAAUACAUAAUGAAAUCAGACCUCAAGAUUGCAACACUAAACAAACAUCACCAUAUGUACGAGUUCAGGAUUAGCGGCUUACCCGUUUGCGGAGAAUCUACUGGAUCUUUGGCUUCAAGAUUAUUCUGACUGAUAGGGUUUAAUGGCUUUGAACUCCCUGCAAUACCUUUCAGCAUAAACAAGACACUCUUUUUUUUUUUUGGGUUUGGGUAAAAGCAUAAACAAGACACUGAAACAGAGCAAUUUAGCAAUUGAAACCCAAUGAAGCCAUCCAAUGCAACAAGGGUAAAGUUCACAGAACAUAAUUAAUUCAUAAAACAACAAACGACCCGUGCUAAAGAAAAACUUACGAGUGAGAAAAGGAUCUAUUUGAGGUUUAGACACCACAAUGUAGGUGGAGAGUGCUACGCAUCCAAUGAUGAACACCCCUAAUCUGAAUCUUUGGGACUCGACUCGGUUGGAGCUCCUUGCCGACUUCAUCUUGUUUGCCAUCUUGGCCCUGGCGCUAGCCUUCAAUCUUUUGAAAUACUUUUCCAAUGAUAUGUUUAGUUUCUGUAGUUAUAGGAAUUCAUUUUCAACUUGUCGACAACCUGUCUCCAUUGUCAUAGUUGACCUACGGACAAUCCAUGUUUCCUUAUUCUGUGAACUCUUGCUUUGCUUCCAAAGAAAUGCAAGGUUAAUUCCUUGGUUUUCCAUCAGAGAUGACUGGUGGAUUCCAGCAGAUUAAUUCUACUAUUUGAGAGGAUUCACUCUAUGUAGUUCAGAAAGGUCUAAAGCACAUGGGACUAAACAACUCUGACGCACCAACCUCCUGAGUCUUCCAAGCAAUCUAGUCAUUAAAGAUGAUUUUGAGCAGAGCAAUGGGGACGACUAAUCCCACAAGUGAUGUUUAAAAUACGAUAAUAAAAAAUUAUCAAACUUUCUCGAUUAAAUAAAGUUCGGAUGGUCUCUCCAAAUAACCUAAUCAUAAAAGAUGAUUUCGAGCUCUACAUUUGGGAGAUUAAUCCUACCACUGUUGACGGUUAAAAUAUAAUAAUAAAAAAUUUGAGAACUUUGUCACUUAAGUAAAAAUUUAGAUGGUUUUGGUUUAUCAAUUAUGCUGCCAUGCUGUAAUGCAACAAGCUAAGUAAUCUGAGCAAAAUAGCAAAUCUAAAUGAGAGUCUAUUUCGCAAUAGAGAGUGAGGUCCCAGCGUCUUUGUCCCUUUGUCCAUUUCCGGGAACGCCAUCACCAUCUAAUUAACCUGAAGUGCCAUCAUCUCUUUACACCACGUUGUUUCCUAUACGGCAUUCCGGGCAAGUCUAUCUAAUACUCUUUUGUUUUGGUCCCGGAAAAAGGCGGGUGGGGCUCGCCCUCUCCUUUGGAGAGAGAAAUGGGACAGGUAUCAAACAGUCCGGCGGAAAGCAAGGGUAUACCCGACAAGGGUAACGGUACCCGCUGCAUGAACUCGCUGCAGAAGGGAGAAAAGUUAAUGGUUCAGAAAGUUCAUCAUUAAGAUGGCGGGAUUUUUCCUGCUUACACCUCUCAAAAAAAAANNNNNNNNNNNNNNNNNNNNUUUUUUNUUUUUUUUUUUUUUUGCAAUUUCCAAAAGGCUAGAUACGUACCUGCACUUUGAGGACAUAGUACGAAAAGUGUUGCAAAGAAUCCUAAAGUUAUUUAGUUGUUCAAAUUUAGAUAAUAUUAACUUGUUAAGGGCUACCGAGAUGUUAGACGGUAGUGAUUGCUCUCAUGAUGCAACAACCGUAUGGUAUGAUGGUAGAAUAAAAAAUUAGUAUUUGUAAAUCUUGUCACGCGCAUGCAUGUGUUUAUGUAUGGGCAAGCACAUGUAUGGAUAUAAUUUGUGACUAUGCUAUUUAAUGACUUUCCCAUCCAUACUCUACUGCUAUUUAAUGAUCGAGGCAUGGAGGCCAAAAAUAUAUGCUCCUGUCCCUUGCUUUGGGGUCCAUCUAUAUUUUAGUCCCUCAUUCAUUCAUGUGUGAAACAGGUAUGCAUAAUCAAUAACAGGUGCAUAUACUUACUUCCCGGAGAGUAGCGAAACCAAAGCUUGUGAUGUAAUUUCUCAUUUUUAACUUCUAUUCUCUUAUUUCUAACAAAGACAUGAUCAAAUCCAAAGUCUGAAAUCAAUAGACGUCGGUUCUACCAGAAACAAGCAGUACUUCAAUCUUUUCACAAAUUUUCCUACCUUCCAUCAUGGUACGAUAAACAAAGAUCUUGAUUUGUCUAUAUAGGUGAUGAUGCUUUGAAAAGAAGUUACAGGAUGACCUAUCAUGUGAUCUAUCUUCUUAUAAUAAUGAAUGAUUGUACAUAGGUGGAUCCCCAUUAACAUUGUCGUUUAGACCCUAUGGAAGCUAGAUCUAGAUCGGAAUUGGAUUUGCGGACUUAAUCAUCCCGGCAUGGUGAAUACUGCUCGAUGUGUGAUGAGUUUACGAGUUUCAUAAGAUAUUAAUAUUUGUGAUUCGAAUUAAAUAGACUGCAACCACCAAGGCCAUAUGACUUGUCCCACAUUUUUGUCCUACAAGCCGGCAUGAUUUGGGAUUUUAAUGGAUACCUAACAUUUUUUCUUCGAUGGUCCCGGGUAGAAAGAUAGCAAACAAGGACUUGAUGGAGAUCGAACCGACACAUGAUGCAUGUAAUUUUAAAUUACCUCAAGCUGCAAUCUCAGGUCAUGAGGCUUCUUCAACAUUUAGAUACAAUUCCGGGCCCAGCUAAUCGGGACUUCCUCCAAGCAAAGAUAAAAGAUCUUUUAUAUAUACGUCUGGAUCAAACUACUGUUCCAUAUGUUGAACCAUUUUAGACACAAUAGCAACUGGUCCAUGUGCAGGUCGUGUCUUUUACGUCAAGUUGGCAGCUAUCCGAAUUUUUUUGCCAUCAGAAGAGAGAGAAAGAUAAUUAGCUACCACCGUCGACCAGCGAGGAAGGAUCGCAAACCCUUGGCAUGGAUUUCACGUUGUCUUUGUGAUAACAGGAGGAGGGAGAAAGCUCAGUAUCUCCCACCAGCACGGGACAAGAAAGCAGCCUAAAUUAAUAUAGGAUACCCCUACACGCAAUCCGAGAACUUCUCUGGCCAUAGUCGAGUGGUCCAAAAGUCCCAGUAGAUCAAAUGUAGGAUCCCUGCAAAGAGAGUCGCGUGGAAAUAAGGUGACAACGGUGACUGGCAGCCUCAAUAAGGCGUGUGAAACCAGGACCAAUGAACCCUUGGGGUCCAUCUCCUUACAGCUUAAAUGUGUCCACCGUUUUUUGGGCCAAGAAUAGUGGAGGAAUUUCGUUGAUCUGGUGUACAGAUUAGACUUGUCUGGUAGGGACCUAACAAUUGAAUGAGGAGGCAACUGCUUGAAUGUGGACAAAAUCAUUUAAAAGUCAUUUUGCAGGAAGGAGAGUA